UAAAACCAGCACCUCAAGUGGUCAGGAGGAUUAUUGGGCCUAAAGCAUCCGUAGCCGGCUCUGUAAGUUUUCGGUUAAAUCCAUGUGCUCAACGCAUGGGCUGCCGAAAAUACUGCAAAGCUAGGGAGUGGGAGAGGUAGACGGUACUCAGUAGGAAGGGGUAAAAUCCUUUGAUCUAUUGAUGACCACCUGUGGCGAAGGCGGUCUACCAGAACACGUUCGACGGUGAGGGAUGAAAGCUGGGGGAGCAAACCGGAUUAGAUACCCGGGUAGUCCCAGCUGUAAACGAUGCAGACUCGAUGAUGCAAUGGCAUAGAGCUAUUGCAGUAUCGCAGGGAAGCCGUUAAGUCUGCCGCCUGGGAAGUACGUACGCAAGUAUG
This 380-nucleotide ribosomal RNA is filed under the name uncultured crenarchaeote. RNAcentral describes it as "bacterial SSU rRNA". It matches the Rfam family "Archaeal small subunit ribosomal RNA", at positions 471 to 851 of the family's 1478-position model. The record is from RNAcentral. Lineage: Archaea; Thermoproteati; Thermoproteota.